UAAACCCCUUUUAUUUUCGCGUCGAUUGAUGUCUAUUACCUCACCUUUAAAGCCUAGUUCAUAUUUCUUGUAAGAACAGAGAUUUUUUUUCUAUAUAUAUUUUACAUCUUUUUUAAUGUUAUUGUGUGUAUUUUAAUUUUAAUCUUACCCGUCAAAUUUUAGCGAAAAAGAAUUUAAAAUAAAGUUUUUACGCGAUUAUUAUACUUAGGGUGCGUUUGGUUCGAGUUAUCCUAAUAGGAUUACAGGCAAUUCUGUGAGGAUUACUAUGUUUGGUUCAUCCGCUAUUUAAUUUAGUCGUCAAUGUAGCAUUACAAAUCGAGUAGGAUUAUACCGAAAAUAUUAACAAGAGGGGGGGCGUGUAUCUUGCAUUACUGAAAAUCGGUAAUACUACAUAAUAUGUAAAAUGAUAAUUUUAUCCUGUAACUCUUGAAACCCUUUCAAUACGUUACUUUAAAAAAUUUAAUUUAAAAUUUUGAAUUGUCAACUAUUAAUUUUUAAUUUUUAAUUUUUAAUUUUUAAAUUUAAAUUUAAAUUUUUAAUUUUUAAUUUUUAAAUUCUUAAACUUAAAAUUUAAAUUUUAAAUUUUAAAUUUAAAUUAAAAUAUUAGAUUUUAAAUUAUAAGUUUUAAAUUUUAAAUUAUAAAUUUCAAAUUUCAAAUUUCUUAGAUUUCAAAUUUCAAAUUUUAAAUUUCAAAUUUAAAAUUUUAAAUUUUAAAAUACAAAUUUGUAUUUUAAAUUCUGAAUUUUAAAUUUAGAUUUUAAUUUUUUAUUUUAUAUAUAAUCAUCCGGAAGCCUAGAAACCAGCUACAUCUACGAUGGCUCUGCAAAAGAUGAAGUAACAACAGGGCGUGAGAACUACUGUAAAAACAAGUAGUCCUCAGUGGGUACCGCCCAAAACAAUAUCGGUCCACCCACUAAGUCUACAGAAGGGAGCAAGGAUAGUAGUAAAUGCAGGAAUACAAUCUACCGCUAUCAAACACUACACUAUCAUGCUCUACACUAACCAACUGUAGGAAAUGUCCAAUCUGACCCAAUCCAAUCGGGACUGUAAGUAUACCCGUCCCCGGGACUGUGAAUACACCCGUCCCUGCCCCGUUGCGACUAUCGGGCUCUAUCCACACUAACUGGUCCGUGGAGAGCAAGUCCAACUGGCAUGAGCGACACCAACGCGAAAACACAUAGCCUAACUCCGGAGUGGCACUCGUGGGCGCUACCCAACCGAGUAUGCCGCGUGUCUCUGUCGAGCUCAAUCAGGCUCCAACUAGCCAAAGUCAAGUGAACAGGGUCAAAACAGGUCUACAAACCAAACCCACGUGCCCUCGGCACAAUCUGUGACCAAAACAAGAAUCUGGGUCCACCGCUAAUCCGAACGGCACCCAACGACCCGAAACAGCCUAAAUUCUGCUAAAAAAUAAGCUCGGCAUCCCAGCACGAGCGUAAAUGCCUUCUAAACUACCCCAGGUAUCCAUCACACUGAUGCUGCAACGAUACAAUCGAAUCACGGCUCCUAGAGCUAAAUCUGGUAGUUUAAGCAUAUGACGGGUUAAAACGCAGGUUUUCUCCUAAGUCAAAUUUCAAGUCCAACAUGUAUAAUAUAAAUAUUCAUUUCAGCAUGCUUCUACAUUUAUAUUACAUUCAAAAUGCUAAUCGAUGAAUUAAAGCAUGAUAUACAAAAAUCGAACUAUACACGCCGACUAUACAUGCACUUAGGAGCGAAACCGAUGAUACACCCACCUCAAGUGCAAUUCCUGGCAGCAAGAGGGUCUCAGAUCACAAGCAACACUGCUGAAAACACCUCCAAACCAGCAACAAAGCCCCUCAAAAUCUGGAUAUUACAAUUCACCCAAAAUCCAAUAAAAACCAUCAAUUUCAGCACUUAAGCUUAGGAUUUAUCCAAUUUCAAUGUCAAAACUCACCUAAUGAUCUCCAAAUCAGGUGAGGAUAGUACCAAAUCCAACAAAUACUGAGGGGUGAUCAAACUCAGCUCCAAAAUCCCACUGCCUACAAAGUUAGCAUCAAGAAAAGCUCAAAAAUCCCAUUUUCAGCUCAAUGUCAACAGCAGUCCAGAAAAAUCUCAGUUCGACCAAGCUAAUCUCAUCCAAAAUCUACAAUUCAGGACUUUGUGGAUUCCUCUGGAAGUCUAGAAUCCAGCAAACCAAGUUUCGCCGAAAUCCGACCUUCCUACGUCGCGCACGAGCCAAAACACUGGAGGUCGUCGCUGAAGAACUGCAGAAUCAGCACCUUGAAAUUCUUGGAGAAGUGGAUCUUGAUGCAAAUUGGAAAUAUUGGAGGGAUUGGAAAUGCAAUUUAUGGGUUCCCUGUGAAGAAGAGAGGAAAAGAGCUCACCAGGGACGCUUCUCAGCUAUUUAUAGGGUGAAAAUAGGGUCAGAUGAACCUUAGGAACAAAGGCUGCAAUCUGCUGUCCCUGCAGAAAAUCCGAGAUCUGGGCGCCCUAAACUCAGUUCUGGGCGCCCAGAACUUCCAGCCUGCACAAAACAGCCCUCAUCGGUUCCUUCGCUUGCGGUAUGCUGCACCCUUAUCCUGCUCCAGCGGCCCACACCUACCACCAGCCACGCGUCAACACGAUCGAUAUUCACGAUGUAGAAUUUCCGGACCCACUUAUGGGCGCCCGGAACAUAGGAUCCGAAUUAGCUUCCAGUUUUAGUUAAAUUCAGCACUCAGUACUGGGCGACCUAAAACCAUUUCUGGGUGCCCUAAACUUCUGGGCGCCCUAAAUCCAGUUCUGGGCGCCCUAAACUAGCAAAACUCCAGUUUUGCUUAUUUGAGUGCGCCGAGUCCAUUUCUGCAUCCAUUUCGCGCAGAAACAACUCCGACUCAGUCCGACACUCUCCAGAAGCGUCGACCAGUCACUAAUACUGAAGCCAAUCNAUUUUUGUUAAAAUUUAAAAUUUAAAAUUAAAUUUAAAAUUUUAAAAAUUAAAUUAUUUAAAAUAAAAUUUGGUAAAAAAAUAUUGUUUGUAAACAGUAAAAAAAACAUUUACGAAAUAUGACUAAGGGUAAUUUUGGAAUAGACUAUAGUUUAUUGUCUAGAUUACUAAAUUUGAUAGACAGAACCAAACAUAGUAACGCUAUAAACAUUGCAAUCCAGCAGUACAUUGUAAUUAACCAAAUGCAGUAAUGCAGCACCUGUAGUAAUCUUAUUUAGAAAUCCAAGAUACCUGGAUAUAUCGAAAUACUCUGAAAUAUUAUAUAACUCAAACCAAACGUGCCCUUAAAGUGAAUAGUAACUUGUGUUUCCGAAUGCGACUGAGGAAAAUGGUUGGCUUCGGAU
Molecule: long non-coding RNA, 3291 nt
Filed under: Ananas comosus (pineapple)
Lineage: Eukaryota; Viridiplantae; Streptophyta; Magnoliopsida; Poales; Bromeliaceae
Description: long non-coding RNA (ACOM_LNC020983)
Source: RNAcentral